Molecule: ribosomal RNA, 429 nt
Filed under: Bacteroidota bacterium
Lineage: Bacteria; Pseudomonadati; Bacteroidota
Description: Bacteroidetes bacterium partial 16S ribosomal RNA
Rfam family: Bacterial small subunit ribosomal RNA
Source: RNAcentral
UAGGGAAUCUUCCGCAAUGGACGCAAGUCUGACGGAGCAACGCCGCGUGAGUGAAGAAGGAUUUCGGUUCGUAAAACUCUGUUGUUAGAGAAGAACAGCGCAUAGAGUAACUGUUAUGCGUGUGACGGUAUCUAACCAGAAAGCCACGGCUAACUACGUGCCAGCAGCCGCGGUAAUACGUAGGUGGCAAGCGUUGUCCGGAUUUAUUGGGCGUAAAGCGAGCGCAGGCGGUCAAUUAAGUCUGAUGUGAAAGCCCCCGGCUCAACCGGGGAGGGUCAUUGGAAACUGGUUGACUUGAGUGCAGAAGAGGAGAGUGGAGUUCCAUUUGUAGCGGUGAAAUGCGUAGAUAUAUGGAGGAGCACCAGUGGCGAAGGCGACUCUCUGGUCUGUAACUGACGCUGAGGCUCGAAAGCGUGGGUAGCAAACAGG